CCUACGGGGGCUGCAGUGGGGAAUAUUGGACAAUGGGGGGAACCCUGAUCCAGCCAUGCCGCGUGUGUGAAGAAGGCCCUCGGGUUGUAAAGCACUUUCAGUGAGGAAGAACGCCUGGUGGUUAAUACCCAUCAGGAAAGACAUCACUCACAGAAGAAGCACCGGCUAACUCCGUGCCAGCAGCCGCGGUAAUACGGAGGGUGCGAGCGUUAAUCGGAAUUACUGGGCGUAAAGCGCGCGUAGGUGGCUUGAUAAGCCGGUUGUGAAAGCCCCGGGCUCAACCUGGGAACGGCAUCUGGAACUGUCAAGCUAGAGUGCAGGAGAGGAAGGUAGAAUUCCCGGUGUAGCGGUGAAAUGCGUAGAGAUCGGGAGGAAUACCAGUGGCGAAGGCGGCCUUCUGGACUGACACUGACACUGAGGUGCGAAAGCGUGGGUAGCAAACAGGAUUAGAUACCCGAGUAGUC
Molecule: ribosomal RNA, 464 nt
Filed under: Vreelandella stevensii
Lineage: Bacteria; Pseudomonadati; Pseudomonadota; Gammaproteobacteria; Oceanospirillales; Halomonadaceae
Description: partial 16S ribosomal RNA
Rfam family: Bacterial small subunit ribosomal RNA
Source: RNAcentral